Molecule: ribosomal RNA, 163 nt
Filed under: Polyscias diversifolia
Lineage: Eukaryota; Viridiplantae; Streptophyta; Magnoliopsida; Apiales; Araliaceae
Description: 5.8S ribosomal RNA
Rfam family: 5.8S ribosomal RNA
About the family: 5.8S ribosomal RNA (5.8S rRNA) is a component of the large subunit of the eukaryotic ribosome. It is transcribed by RNA polymerase I as part of the 45S precursor that also contains 18S and 28S rRNA.
Source: RNAcentral
AAACGACUCUCGGCAACGGAUAUCUCGGCUCUCGCAUCGAUGAAGAACGUAGCGAAAUGCGAUACUUGGUGUGAAUUGCAGAAUCCCGUGAACCAUCGAGUCUUUGAACGCAAGUUGCGCCCGAAGCCAAUAGGUCGAGGGCACGUCUGCCUGGGCGUCACGC